Molecule: ribosomal RNA, 248 nt
Filed under: uncultured bacterium
Lineage: Bacteria
Description: partial 16S ribosomal RNA
Rfam family: Bacterial small subunit ribosomal RNA
Source: RNAcentral
UACAGAGACUGCAAGCGUUAUUCGGAUUCACUGGGCGUAAAGGGUGCGCAGGCGGCCAAGUGUGUUAGGCGUGAAAGCCCGGGGCUUAACCUCGGAAUUGCACCUAAAACUACAUGGCUAGAGCAUUGGAGAGGGUAGCGGAAUUCACGGUGUAGCAGUGAAAUGCGUAGAUAUCGUGAGGAACACCAGAGGCGAAGGCGGCUGCCUGGACAAUUGCUGACGCUCAGGCACGAAAGCGUGGGGAGCAA